RNAcentral lists this ribosomal RNA (336 nucleotides) under Klebsiella pneumoniae. RNAcentral's name for it is "bacterial SSU rRNA". It matches the Rfam family "Bacterial small subunit ribosomal RNA", at positions 192 to 509 of the family's 1533-position model. Lineage: Bacteria; Pseudomonadati; Pseudomonadota; Gammaproteobacteria; Enterobacterales; Enterobacteriaceae. The record is from RNAcentral.
GUCGCAAGACCAAAGUGGGGGACCUUCGGGCCUCAUGCCAUCAGAUGUGCCCAGAUGGGAUUAGCUAGUAGGUGGGGUAACGGCUCACCUAGGCGACGAUCCCUAGCUGGUCUGAGAGGAUGACCAGCCACACUGGAACUGAGACACGGUCCAGACUCCUACGGGAGGCAGCAGUGGGGAAUAUUGCACAAUGGGCGCAAGCCUGAUGCAGCCAUGCCGCGUGUGUGAAGAAGGCCUUCGGGUUGUAAAGCACUUUCAGCGGGGAGGAAGGCGUUAAGGUUAAUAACCUUGGCGAUUGACGUUACCCGCAGAAGAAGCACCGGCUAACUCCGUGCC